AUAAGACGAGCAAAAAGC
This 18-nucleotide microRNA is filed under the name Rattus norvegicus (Norway rat). RNAcentral's name for it is "rno-miR-208a-3p". Its record names the gene rno-miR-208a-3p. The record is from miRBase by way of RNAcentral. Lineage: Eukaryota; Metazoa; Chordata; Mammalia; Rodentia; Muridae.